CCUACGGGCGGCAGCAGUGGGGAAUAUUGCACAAUGGGCGCAAGCCUGAUGCAGCCAUGCCGCGUGUGUGAAGAAGGCCUUCGGGUUGUAAAGCACUUUCAGCGGGGAGGAAGGCGUUAAGGUUAAUAACCUUGGCGGUUGACGUUACCCGCAGAAGAAGCACCGGCUAACUCCGUGCCAGCAGCCGCGGUAAUACGGAGGGUGCAAGCGUUAAUCGGAAUUACUGGGCGUAAAGCGCACGCAGGCGGUCUGUCAAGUCGGAUGUGAAAUCCCCGGGCUCAACCUGGGAACUGCAUUCGAAACUGGCAGGCUAGAGUCUUGUAGAGGGGGGUAGAAUUCCAGGUGUAGCGGUGAAAUGCGUAGAGAUCUGGAGGAAUACCGGUGGCGAAGGCGGCCCCCUGGACAAAGACUGACGCUCAGGUGCGAAAGCGUGGGGAGCAAACAGGAUUAGAUACCCGGGUAGUC
RNAcentral lists this ribosomal RNA (465 nucleotides) under uncultured Klebsiella sp. RNAcentral describes it as "bacterial SSU rRNA". It matches the Rfam family "Bacterial small subunit ribosomal RNA", at positions 338 to 795 of the family's 1533-position model. Lineage: Bacteria; Pseudomonadati; Pseudomonadota; Gammaproteobacteria; Enterobacterales; Enterobacteriaceae. The record is from RNAcentral.